AGAAUAAGAAGACAACUUUCUGGAGUUGCUGUGUCUUUCUACUGUGUGGGGCCUGGAUUGAACUCUGGUUGUCAGACUUAGGGAGAUCUAAGUCAGACAGACCCAAGACUUGUAACUUCAACACAGAAAAGGAUUUCAAAACUAGCAAUUAUUAAUCAGAGUUGGAGAUUUUCAAAACAAGAGUUAAGACAAAGGAAAGGAAAAGGCCUUGAAUCAUUGCCAAUUGUGUCGAAGUUCUUGCUUCUUAAUGGAUGAGAGGCUUCAGUGAA
Long non-coding RNA from Peromyscus leucopus (white-footed mouse), 269 nucleotides. RefSeq lists it as uncharacterized. Lineage: Eukaryota; Metazoa; Chordata; Mammalia; Rodentia; Cricetidae. The transcript is spliced from 3 exons. The record is from RefSeq and is a predicted model, not a curated record.